UACGGAGGGUGCGAGCGUUAAUCGGAAUUACUGGGCGUAAAGCGCGCGUAUGCGGCUGGGUAAGUCGGAUGUGAAAGCCCCGGGCUUAACUUGGGAACUGCAUUCGAUACUGCCCGACUAGAGUAUGGUAGAGGAAAGCGGAAUUCCCGGUGUAGCGGUGAAAUGCGUAGAUAUCGGGAGGAACAUCAGUGGCGAAGGCGGCUUUCUGGACCAAUACUGACGCUGAGGCGCGAAAGCGUGGGUAGCAAACAGG
RNAcentral lists this ribosomal RNA (253 nucleotides) under uncultured bacterium. Its description in RNAcentral is "partial 16S ribosomal RNA". It matches the Rfam family "Bacterial small subunit ribosomal RNA", at positions 524 to 776 of the family's 1533-position model. The record is from RNAcentral.